CAUAGUGGUAUCCUGAGUAGGGCGGGACACGUGAAAUCCUGUCUGAAUCCGGCGGGCCCAUCCGCCAAGGCUAAAUACUCGUAAGAGACCGAUAGCGAACCAGUACCGUGAGGGAAAGGUGAAAAGCACCUCUUUUAGAGGAGUGAAAAAGUUCCUGAAACCGUACGCCUACAAGCGGUCGGAGCUUCUUAGGAAGUGACGGCGUGCCUUUUGCAUAAUGAACCUACGAGUUACCGUCGUCGGCAAGGUUAAGUGCUAUGAAGCACGUAAGCCGAAGCGAAAGCGAGUCUGAAUAGGGCGCAUAGUCGGCGGUGGUAGACGCGAAACCAAGUGAUCUACCCUUGUCCAGGUUGAAGUCCCGGUAACACGGGAUGGAGGACCGAACCAAUAAGCGUUGAAAAGCUUCUGGAUGAGGUGAGGGUAGGAGUGAAAGGCCAAUCAAACUUGGAGAUAGCUCGUACUCCCCGAAAUGCAUUUAGGUGCAGCCUCGGGCGUUCCCUGUGUGAGGUAGAGCGACUGAUUGGAUGCGAGGGCUUCACCGCCUAUCAAGUCCAGACAAACUCCGAAUGCACACAGGCUAAGCCCGGGAGUGAGGGCGUGGGUGCUAAGGUCCACGCCCGAGAGGAGAAGAAUCCUGAUCACCGGCUAAGGCCCCGAAAUCCGGGCUAAGUUAAACUAACGAAGUGUGGUCCCCGUGACAGCUAGGAUGUUGGCUUGGAAGCAGCCAUUCAUUCAAAGAGUGCGUAACAGCUCACUAGUCGAGGGACCGUGCAUGGAUAAUAAUCGGGUAUUAAGCCCGGUGCCGAAGCCGUGGGAUGUUUUUAUAACAUCGGUAGGGGAGCAUUCAUGCGGCCUUGAAGCUCGAGGGACAACCUCGGGUGGAGCUUCAUGAAAAGCAAAUGUAGGUAUAAGUAACGAUAAAGAGUGUGAGAUGCACUCUCGCCGAAAGACUAAGGUUUCCAGGGCAACGUUAAUCGUCCCUGGGUCAGUCGGGACCUAAGGUUCAACCUAAUGGUGAUGCCGAUGGCAGAAACGGUUAAUAUUCCGUUACUAUCUUUGUUGGCGAUGUGGAGACGGAGGAGUGACACUUCCGCGAGCUGACGGAAUAGCUCGUUAAAGACCGUAGGUGUUGAGGAUGGCAGGCAAAUCCACCAUCCGAGCUGAAAGUCGAUAGUAUACAGCGUCUUCGGACAAUGUAAUAGUGAAGGUAAUCCUACUCCCGAGAAAAUCCGCUAAGCUUAACAGCAAAGAUACCCGUACCGUAAACGGACACACGUAGUCGGGUAGAAUAUACUAAGGCGCUUGGAAGAUUCAUGGUUAAGGAACUAGGCAAAUUGACCCCGUAACUUCGGAAUAAGGGGUCCUCAUAGCAAUAUGAGGCGCAGAGAAUAGGUCCAGGCAACUGUUUAACAAAAACACAGGGCUGUGCAAACUCGAAAGAUGAGGUAUACAGCCUGACACCUGCCCGGUGCCGGAAGGUUAAGAGGAGAGCUCAUCCUAUUUAUAGGUGAAGGUUUGAAUUGAAGCCCCGGUAAACGGCGGCCGUAACUAUAACGGUCCUAAGGUAGCGAAAUUCCUUGUCGGGU
Molecule: ribosomal RNA, 1586 nt
Filed under: human metagenome
Description: bacterial LSU rRNA
Rfam family: Bacterial large subunit ribosomal RNA
Source: RNAcentral